ACGGUUAAGGAAUGUGUAUUUAUGACGACAAUUUGUGAGACUGGUAAACUUAUGAUACGUACGAUGGUCUUUCGUUCUACACGGUGCAUUUCAAGGUCCUGCACCCAUCCGUCGGUAAACUGUACCUGGGCUUGUUGCAGUGACCGGAAGUUACUAAACUUCACGAGUGUAUGCACUCACUCCAAGAACCGUAUAAUUAUAAAUAUGCAUAUAAAUAUGCUAAGAUGAGAUAGCUGACUUCAUCUAACUAGCAAAUGUUGUCCAGGCUACGUUGGUGAUACAGUUUUUUUUUAAUGUGUAUGAUAUUUUUGUCAUGCGAUUUUAAAGCCGGUCCUACAACCGCAUCCAAGAAUAACAUGCAGCUUAUCUCAGAACUGUCGGUGAAAAUUAUUCUUGGAGCUAAGUUUAAUUGAGCUGCAUUUUAAAGAGGUGCAAUUUCACAAUUUGUGUAUAUUUUCUAAGUUCACUAUUUUGUCAUGUGUUGAGAAAAACACAGAUUUUAAAAUUACAUGGUCUAAUAUUUACAUUUAGCAUAACUGCAACAUUAUUUUUUCGUUUGUUUUUUUUAAAGACUCGAAAGGACUUGAAAUUCAAAGUUUCAGACUUGUGACUUGACUCGGACUUUUACACCAGUGACUUGAGACUCAACUCUGACUUGCCUGACAUUACUUGAGACUUGACUUGAGACUUGAGGAUAAAGACUUGAGACUUACUUGAGACUUGCAAAACAAUGACUUGGUCCCACCUCUGAUAUUCUAUUUCGGGCACGAUACGAACCUGUAAACAGGAAAGAAAUGAUCAGACAGGGACACGUGACUUGCCGUUUCCUGAAUACUCCGCCAUUAUGAGAAAACAGCGCGGAGCAUGCGCUUCAGGCUGCUAACAACAGGCCAAACCAUGGUCUCACACUGCCACCUAUUGGUAUAAAAAUGAAGCGUCCACUACAAAUAUCCCAGGGUAGUUACCAAGUUUCCUGUUACAAUUACUGUAGUUAUUUAGGGCAUUUCCAAAUGGAAAUAUCACUUACAUUGAAAGUGAAAUUACUUAAAUUAAUUCACAUAAAUGUGAUCACACAUUAGUGGGUAUCACAUUUACACUAAA
Molecule: long non-coding RNA, 1101 nt
Organism: Astatotilapia calliptera (eastern happy)
Lineage: Eukaryota; Metazoa; Chordata; Actinopteri; Cichliformes; Cichlidae
Source: Ensembl